RNAcentral lists this ribosomal RNA (397 nucleotides) under uncultured bacterium. RNAcentral describes it as "partial 16S ribosomal RNA". It matches the Rfam family "Bacterial small subunit ribosomal RNA", at positions 338 to 732 of the family's 1533-position model. The record is from RNAcentral.
CCUACGGGAGGCAGCAGUGAGGAAUAUUGGUCAAUGGGCGCGAGCCUGAACCAGCCAAGUAGCGUGAAGGAUGACUGCCCUACGGGUUGUAAACUUCUUUUAUAAAGGAACAAAGUGAGGCACGUGUGCCCUUUUGUAUGUAUUUUAUGAAUAAGGAUCGGCUAACUCCGUGCCAGCAGCCGCGGUAAUACGGAGGAUCCGAGCGUUAUCCGGAUUUAUUGGGGUUAAAGGGAGCGCAGAUGGGUUGUUAAGUCAGUUGUGAAAGUUCGGGGCUCAACCGUAGAAUUGCAUUUGAUACUGGCAGCAUUGAGUACAUUUGGGGUAGGCGGAAUUCGAGGUGUAGCGGUGAAAUGCUUAGAUAUCCCGAAGAACUCCGAUUGCGAAGGCAGCCUACUAA